AAAUUGAAGAGUUUGAUCAUGGCUCAGAUUGAACGCUGGCGGCAGGCCUAACACAUGCAAGUCGAACGGUAACAGGAAGCAGCUUGCUGCUUCGCUGACGAGUGGCGGACGGGUGAGUAAUGUCUGGGAAACUGCCUGAUGGAGGGGGAUAACUACUGGAAACGGUAGCUAAUACCGCAUAACGUCGCAAGACCAAAGGGGGGGACCUUCGGGCCUCUUGCCAUCGGAUGUGCCCAGAUGGGAUUAGCUUGUUGGUGGGGUA
RNAcentral lists this ribosomal RNA (262 nucleotides) under Escherichia coli. RNAcentral's name for it is "partial 16S ribosomal RNA". It matches the Rfam family "Bacterial small subunit ribosomal RNA", at positions 1 to 259 of the family's 1533-position model. Lineage: Bacteria; Pseudomonadati; Pseudomonadota; Gammaproteobacteria; Enterobacterales; Enterobacteriaceae. The record is from RNAcentral.